CCUACGGGAGACAGCAGUAGGGAAUGUUCGGCAAUGGGGGGAACCCUGACCGAGCAACGCCGCGUGAACGAAGAAGUUAUUCGUAAUGUAAAGUUCUUUUAACAGGGAAGAAAGAGAAAUUUGACGGUACCUGAAGAAUAAGCUCCGGCUAACUACGUGCCAGCAGCCGCGGUAAUACGUAGGGAGCGAGCGUUAUCCGGAAUUAUUGGGCGUAAAGGGUGCGUAGAUGGCAUAGUAAGUCUUGUGUAAAAAUGCUGGGCUCCACCCAGUAGGGCAAAAGAUACUGCAAAGCUAGAGUAUGCCAGAGGCAAGUCGAACUACAUGUGUAGCGGUCAAAUGCGUACCUAUAUGU
Molecule: ribosomal RNA, 352 nt
Filed under: uncultured bacterium
Lineage: Bacteria
Description: partial 16S ribosomal RNA
Rfam family: Bacterial small subunit ribosomal RNA
Source: RNAcentral